UACAGAGGGUGCAAGCGUUAAUCGGAAUGACUGGGCGUAAAGGGCGCGUAGGUGGUUGUUUAAGUUAGAUGUGAAAUCCCUGGGCUUAACCUAGGAACUGCAUUUAAUACUGGGCAACUAGAGUACAGGAGAGGGCAGUGGAAUUUCCGGUGUAGCGGUGAAAUGCGUAGAUAUCGGAAGGAACACCAGUGGCGAAGGCGACUGCCUGGCCUGAUACUGACACUGAGGCGCGAAAGCGUGGGUAGCGAACAGG
This 253-nucleotide unclassified non-coding RNA is filed under the name uncultured Gammaproteobacteria bacterium. Its description in RNAcentral is "contains 16S-23S intergenic spacer region". It matches the Rfam family "Bacterial small subunit ribosomal RNA", at positions 524 to 776 of the family's 1533-position model. The record is from RNAcentral. Lineage: Bacteria; Pseudomonadati; Pseudomonadota; Gammaproteobacteria.